GACGAACGCUGGCGGCGUGCUUAACACGUGCAAGUCGAACGAUGAAGCUGGCGCUUGCUCCGGUGGAUGAGUUGCGAACGGGUGAGUAACACGUGAGCAAUCUGCCCUUGACUGUGGGAUAACUGCGGGAAACUGUAGCUAAUACCGGAUACUUUCACUGGAAGGCAUCUUCUGGUGAGGAAAGAAUUUCGGUCAAGGAUGAGCUCGCGGCCUAUGAGCUUGUUGGUGAGGUACCGGCUCACCAAGGCGACGACGGGUAGCCGGCCUGAGAGGGUGACCGGCCACACUGGGACUGAGACACGGCCCAGACUCCUACGGGAGGCAGCAGUGGGGAAUAUUGCACAAUGGGCGCAAGUCUGAUACAGCAACGCCGCGUGAGGGAUGAAGGCCUUCGGGUUGUAAACCUCUUUUAGCAGGGAAGAAGCGAAAGUGACGGUACCUGCAGAAAAAGCACCGGCUAACUACGUGCCAGCCGCCGCCGUAA
This 484-nucleotide ribosomal RNA is filed under the name uncultured bacterium. RNAcentral's name for it is "partial 16S ribosomal RNA". It matches the Rfam family "Bacterial small subunit ribosomal RNA", at positions 28 to 523 of the family's 1533-position model. The record is from RNAcentral.